Molecule: ribosomal RNA, 253 nt
Filed under: uncultured bacterium
Lineage: Bacteria
Description: partial 16S ribosomal RNA
Rfam family: Bacterial small subunit ribosomal RNA
Source: RNAcentral
UACGAAGGGGGCGAGCGUUGUUCGGAUUUACUGGGCGUAAAGGGCGCGUAGGCGGCCAUCUUUGUCAGGCGUGAAAGCCCCGGGCUCAACCUGGGAACUGCGUCUGGGACGGGGUGGCUAGAGAUCGGGAGAGGAGCGUGGAAUUCCCAGUGUAGAGGUGAAAUUCGUAGAUAUUGGGAAGAACACCGGUGGCGAAGGCGGCGCUCUGGACCGAUACUGACGCUGAGGCGCGAAAGCUAGGGGAGCAAACAGG